CUAGACUAUCUAUAGGAUUACAUUGCAGCCCGGUUUGCGGCUGCCGGUUACCGUGUUCUUGCUCAAUACUUGACCAAUUUAAAGAUUCUUACAUUAGUCACUUA
Sander lucioperca (pikeperch) is the source of this 104-nucleotide long non-coding RNA. RefSeq lists it as uncharacterized. The record is from RefSeq and is a predicted model, not a curated record. The transcript has 3 exons. NCBI's taxonomy places the organism in Eukaryota, Metazoa, Chordata, Actinopteri, Perciformes, Percidae.